RNAcentral lists this long non-coding RNA (343 nucleotides) under Elaeis guineensis (African oil palm). RNAcentral describes it as "long non-coding RNA (EGUI_LNC017139)". Lineage: Eukaryota; Viridiplantae; Streptophyta; Magnoliopsida; Arecales; Arecaceae. The record is from RNAcentral.
UAACUGAGUGAGCUAUCAGUUUUCGAGGUAUCAGGUUUCAGUUGCUUUAGAUUCAGGUUUACAGUGAUAAUGUUUACAGGUCACAGUAUCUAUGUGCUGAUCUAGGUGCAGAUUGUGUUUGGAUUAGAUUAAAGUUGUUGGUCCUAGAUGAGGGCAUAACAUUAGUCCAUAGUGCUGGUGUUGCUGGGACUCGUCAAAAUGUUAGGAGUAUCAGCUCCUCCUGUCAGCGUCUGCUAUCAGGUUUUCAGUGUCUGCUGCUUUCAGUUUCCAAUAGUGCUCUCAUACCAUUCAAGAUAUCCCAGAUGGAAGAAGCAGAAUCAUCCCCUGCGACAUGGCCAGCCCA